UACGUAGGGUGCGAGCGUUGUCCGGAAUUAUUGGGCGUAAAGAGCUCGUAGGCGGUGUGUCGCGUCGGCCGUGAAAACUUUCAGCUUAACUGGGAGCUUGCGGUCGAUACGGGCAUCACUGGAGUUCGGCAGGGGAGACUGGAAUUCCUGGUGUAGCGGUGAAAUGCGCAGAUAUCAGGAGGAACACCGGUGGCGAAGGCGGGUCUCUGGGCCGAUACUGACGCUGAGGAGCGAAAGCGUGGGGAGCGAACAGG
Molecule: ribosomal RNA, 254 nt
Filed under: uncultured bacterium
Lineage: Bacteria
Description: partial 16S ribosomal RNA
Rfam family: Bacterial small subunit ribosomal RNA
Source: RNAcentral